This is a long non-coding RNA of Gossypium arboreum, 785 nucleotides long. RefSeq lists it as uncharacterized. The record is from RefSeq and is a predicted model, not a curated record. The transcript is spliced from 4 exons. Lineage: Eukaryota; Viridiplantae; Streptophyta; Magnoliopsida; Malvales; Malvaceae.
CCUCAAACCAACAAGACGACCCAAUGGUAAAGUUGAGUUCAUUAUUCCCUGAUAUGAAGUAGAAAAGAUUGAUGUAAUGGAUCUUGGUGGAAGAAACUAAAGGGCCAUAUCACGAUGCACCGCCUCUAGUAUGUCUUCAGAUUUCCAAAACUGAUUGAUCUUUUCCUUCCAUUACAAAUUGAUUUCGAGUGUGCCAAAUGGACCACAGAGUUAUUAGAAUUCUACUACAGGACCACACCAUAGCAGCAUAUGUAUUGUAGACUCUGGACACAACCCGCACCUUGGACAUAUUGGUGAAUGCGCUAUGAUUAUGUAGAAUAUGCCGAGAUGUAAUCCUUAUUUUGGAGUGGAUUUUCUGUUGCCAAAUUUUCUUGUAUAUUUCUAUUGUAUUAGUAACAUUAUUGUCUGUAAUAUGUUGACCGAUAAGAGUCUUGUACCCACUCUGAAUGGUAUAUUCGCUAGUUUUGUCGCAAGCCCAUAUGAGUCUAUCAUCCUCCACCAAUCGAGAGAGGCACGCAUAUGAUUUCUGUAGCAUCUUCCCUUGAGAAAACAUUGCCCGUUUUGGAAGCCAUCAAUCUAUCCAUACUGAGAUUUCAGACCCAGAGCCGACUCUUCAAUCGACUCCAUCUUCCAGCAUCUUUCUAGCCGCAAAUGUAACAAUCUGUUUUUAGUCAAAUCAGAACAGUAGUUUUAGAACCAUAAAUUCGAGGUUGAAAUAUUUAUUUUAUUAUUAAUUUGAGGUCUACAACAUGAUAGUAUGAUUGUGAAAAAAAAAAUUUAAGAAA